Molecule: ribosomal RNA, 253 nt
Filed under: uncultured bacterium
Lineage: Bacteria
Description: partial 16S ribosomal RNA
Rfam family: Bacterial small subunit ribosomal RNA
Source: RNAcentral
UACAGAGGGUGCGAGCGUUAAUCGGAAUUACUGGGCGUAAAGCGUGCGUAGACGGUUAUUUAAGUCGGGUGUGAAAGCCCCGGGCUCAACCUGGGAACUGCAUUCGAGACUGAAUAGCUAGGGUACGGUAGAGGGAAGCGGAAUUUCCGGUGUAGCGGUGAAAUGCGUAGAUAUCGGAAGGAACAUCAGUGGCGAAAGCGGCUUCCUGGACCAGUACCGACGUUCAGGCACGAAAGCGUGGGGAGCAAACAGG